AGCGGCGGACGGGUUAGUAACGCGUGGGAAUAUGCCCAAAGGUACGGAAUAGCCUCUGGAAACGGAGAGUAAUACCGUAUGUGCCCUUCGGGGGAAAGAUUUAUCGCCUUUGGAUUAGCCCGCGUUGGAUUAGGUAGUUGGUGGGGUAAUGGCCUACCAAGCCUACGAUCCAUAGCUGGUUUGAGAGGAUGAUCAGCAACACUGGGACUGAGACACGGCCCAGACCCCUACGGGAGGCAGCAGUAGGGAAUCUUAGACAAUGGGCGAAAGCCUGAUCUAGCCAUGCCGCGUGAGUGAAGAAGGCCCUAGGGUCGUAAAGCUCUUUCGCCAGGGAUGAUAAUGACAGUACCUGGUAAAGAAACCCCGGCUAACUCCGUGCCAGCAGCCGCGGUAAUACGGAGGGGGUUAGCGUUGUUCGGAAUUACUGGGCGUAAAGCGUACGUAGGCGGAUUAGUCAGUCAGAGGUGAAAUCCCAGGGCUCAACCCUGGAACUGCCUUUGAUACUGCUAGUCUUGAGUUCGAGAGAGGUGAGUGGAAUUCCAAGUGUAGAGGUGAAAUUCGUAGAUAUUUGGAGGAACACCAGUGGCGAAGGCGGCUCACUGGCUCGAUACUGACGCUGAGUACGAAAGUGUGAGGAGCAAACAGGAUUAGAUACCCUUGUAGUUCACACGA
RNAcentral lists this ribosomal RNA (672 nucleotides) under uncultured bacterium. RNAcentral describes it as "bacterial SSU rRNA". It matches the Rfam family "Bacterial small subunit ribosomal RNA", at positions 94 to 802 of the family's 1533-position model. The record is from RNAcentral.